CCUACACACACAAUCCAUUCUAACAUUUAUACAGCACUCUCACACCCAUCACUCUCACACCCAUCACUCUCACACCCAUCACUUUCUCACACACAGCACUUUCUCACACACAGCACUCUCACACCCAUCACUCUCACACCCAUCACUCUCACACCCAUCACUCUCACACACACAGCACUCUCACACACACAGCACUCUCUCACACACAGCACUCUCUCACACACAGCACUCUCUCACACACAGCACUCUCACACACAGCACUCUCUCUCA
Molecule: non-coding RNA, 270 nt
Organism: Pelobates cultripes (western spadefoot toad)
Lineage: Eukaryota; Metazoa; Chordata; Amphibia; Anura; Pelobatidae
Source: the annotation of a GenBank genome assembly